Molecule: long non-coding RNA, 5743 nt
Filed under: Sus scrofa (pig)
Lineage: Eukaryota; Metazoa; Chordata; Mammalia; Artiodactyla; Suidae
Description: lncRNA (ENSSSCG00040016601.1)
Source: RNAcentral
UUAAGUCGGUUUACCAAUGUUUAUUUUUCUCUUUAGCUUUAGUGUAAGACCUCAAGAUUCAGACUGUUUUCUGAGCUCUGCUCCAUGAUUUCUAACAGGAACAGGAACAUAAACACUCUAAUUAACAUUUGAUGUCCUGACAGGCUUCAGAUCGAAGACACAGAAAUGAGUUGUCUGCCAUUGUGGAGUCAAUAGCUGAGAAUCACACACAAACACCCAUUUUUUACAGUCUCACAAAGAAGUAGAAAGACUGAUAUUCGCUUUUAAAAGUACAGUUCUUAAAUAAUUUUUAUCACUCCUAGCAACAGAAUAUUUUUUUAAAGUCCUAGGAGGUUGAAUGUCCUUUAUGACCACCUGAUGUAUAUUUUGCAACCUAAAACAUUUCCCUCUAGGAUAUAAUUUUAGCAGUUAUCACUUCAAACGUAGAGUUCUUUAUACCUAGGGUUUUCAAACAAUUAAUCUAUCAUCACUGGAGGAGGUCAUCAGGAAGACAUGACUGCAGGUUGGCCCAUGAGCUGGACCCAGGCAGUUGGAGGCUCCUCAUGUGUUUCCCUGUCCUUGGAAUGUACAUUCUGUUUGCCUUCCCUGCUCCCAGACACUGCCCCAAGGAUCCAGCCUUGAGACAGUAAUGUGAUGAUGAGACUAACUGGACUGGGUACAGGACUGAACCCAGUUAAAGUCUUUAUAUAAACUUUUAUGAUACUGGUGGGCAUUUGCAGAGAUCACCUUAUCUUGUGGGCAUCCAAAACAAGCCUUAUAAGUUAGGUCCCAUGCUUAUUAAACUUGCCAGGCACUAAUGUGCAGUGGUCUGCCUCUUCGCUUUUUUAAAUGGCUGCACCCUUGGCAUAUGGAGGUUCCCAGGCUAAGGGUCCAAUUGGAGCUACAGCUGGCGGCCUAGCCACAGCCACAUCAACAACAGAUCUGAGCCACAUAUGUGACCUACACCACAGCACAUGGCAACGCCAGAUCCUUAACUCACCAAUCAGACUUGUUUCCGCUGUGCCACAAUGGGAACUCCUGGUCUGCCUCUUCUAUCUCUCCUUUCCUUCUGUGUGUGGGAGCAGGGAGAGGGGCAGUUUCUGAUCCCACCUGGAAAGCUCCUGAGGUUUUGAACCAACAGUCAUAUUCAGUCAAAAAUCUUUUCCUUAUUUAAAAGAGAAAGGAGGUUAGAAAUAUGAAAUUGCUCACUCAUUAUUUCAAAGUUAACUAGUACUACAGGAAGUAAGAUCCAGAACUCCUAUUUUAGUUCUGGUCAAUUCUUGUAUAUUUAAAUAUUUACUAUGGCUAGAAUUAUUAUAAAUUAUAACAAUUACAAAAGAAAGCAGUUAAGCUCUAGGGUUUGAUCAUAUCUAAAGAAAUGUAAAUUUGUUCACUUUGCCCAAGGAGCAUAGGAGGGCUCUCCAAAUGUUUUAUAAUAUUUUCUUUUAACUGUAAUAAAUGACCAUGCUGGGAAAAUAAUUAUUUUAUAGUGCUGGGUCUCAGGGAAUAUUAAUCUCAUUUCAAGUAAAAUUUUAACUGGGUAGAGCUGAAAGCAUCUGUGAGUGACUGAAUGAAAUCUCACACAUGGACAUGCCUGGUUCUGUGCACCUGGUUAGAUCUGAAUCUAGAUUCCAUUCUUUAGGAGAAGUAACAUGAUCCAGGAUUUCCUCUGCUCAGAUACCCACAUGCUAUGACUGAAUCAGGAGGUAGUGAGAGCAAGAUAGCCAAUCAGUAAACAUCCAAACGUUUGUAAUGUCUCUCAUCAUUGCAUGUGUCUGAACUAACUCUAAAACAAAUAUAUAUUUUUACUUAUAAUUUUUAAAUUGUGGAUGAUAGUUGGUUGCAGUUAGUUUCUACAAUACCUACAUUAUACUUGGCUUUGAAGUUCAUUUUAAAAAAUAUAACUGUUGAGAUUGACAUUUUAAUUUUAAGGUAAGCUUUAAGCUUAUAUAAAUUCAUAAAUGGUUGGGAUCUUAGUUAUGCUUUAAUAUUUUGGUUAUGGUCAACUGAAGUAGAGUCUUGUCAAAUAUUUUUAGGCUAAACAAAUACUGAAUUUAACAGAUGACAUCAAAGAGUUUUUAUAAUGUAUUUUAAAUUAUUUUCCUAUGCUGUUCAGCUCUUCCAGAUAAUGAGGUAGAAAACAGAAUGACUCCUUAUACAUGUUCAGUGACACUUGGUAUUUGAUAUUAGUUAUCUUUGUACAUUUUUAACUUUUAUAAGUGUAAUGUAAACUUCUUGAAGGUGGUAUGUAACAGGCACUUAAUAUUUACUGAAUGAAUAAAUGGACAGGCCUCCAUAAGACUCCAGGAAAGGAUAGAUAAGUGGCAGAUCUGCUUCUAUGCACAGUAAAAAGUAAUGCAACUAUGUUUCCUCAAUGACUGGGUAUCUGCUGAGUACUUGUUCAUUAAAAAAAAAAAGUGUGUGUGCUUUUAAGCAGCCAUUUCAAAGAAGCAUGACCCCAUGUAAAAACAGCUGCAGCAAAAUGUCUUGUUUUAAGGGAGAAUGGGGGUGAACUAAUGGCCAUGGCAGCAAUAGAUAUGUGUGUGUGUGUGUGUGUGUGUGAGAGAGAGAGAGAGCGAGCAAAGACAGAGAUAGAGAGCAGGUGCUUGAGCAGAAGGGGAGAAGGGAAGCAGUAUAACAAGAAUUGACCCAUGCAGCAUAUGGAUGUCUUGGAAAUUAGUCUAAUCCCCACAAUUUACUUUUGCACUAUUUCUUGAAUCCAUCCUCUCUCCUCUCAUUCUAUUGAUGAAGCCCUCACUUCAAGUCUCCUAUUAUGCUAUGAUAGUAGUUUAUCUAUAUUCCUCCUGUUUCCAACCACUGUCAAGACAACUGUUUCCACCAAUUGCGCACAGUAAUAAUUUAAAAAGUCAAACAUGUUUAAAAAGUCAAAUCUGUAUUUGCCUGUAAUUAUCUAUACUAAUUUUCUUUCUUCUAUUCUCAUAUGCUCGAUUGGGAUGGAAAUGACUGCAGGAAAAGCUAGGGCCUAGGAAUUGCACAAAUCCUUGUAUACAUGUACACCUAUCAUUUAUGUGACCCCCCCCCAAAAAAAAUGGUGGAGAAUAACAGCUUUCAGGGAAAAAGUCCAAAGUCUUUAACAUCAUAGAUGAUUCUCCCAGACUGGCCUAAAUAUAGCUUUCUGGCUUCUACUCUUUUUCACCUACACCCCUACAAAAUGGGCUCACCCACAGUGGGCUAGUCACCGUCCCCAAAACAUGCCAAACACUUUCAUGCUUCCGAGCCUUCACAUACCUUUGCCCUCCCUUCCCCACCACUACAAACAUUUUAAGAUGAACUCAAAUAUUCCCUAUUCCAUAAAGCUCCCAGACUUCUCCAGGCACAGUCAACACCUCCAUCACACUCCUUUUAAAAAUUAUAGUAGAAAUGUUUGUCUACUCUUCCCUCCCAUCACUCACCAACUCCAAAACUUUUAUGUCUCUAAAACUUCUUCAAACAGCUUCCUGUCUUAGCACAUCUCUUUGCCUGGUUGAUUGUCUUCCAUCAAUGGUAGUAUGAAUGGAGAUAAACGAAAACAAAAUCAAUACAACAUCUGGUUCUAAAGGACAGUGAGGGAUUCUCCUGUUAUUCGUUUAUGCUACUCCAUGAAUAUUCCCUAUGUUAAAAGGCUUUCAAGGCAGGAAAUCUUCUAAUUUUCAUUAGGAACACUAGUCUCUUACACAGGAAGUUUUUACAAAAUCCUGCGAAAAAGAUGCCUAUAUUGUCAAAAUACACAUUUCACACUUCCUAUUAAAAUGUCCUCUAAAAAGCAUUGUAAUCCAAUUAAGAAAACAUGUUUUGCAUGUCAUUCCAAAUGUGUCUAUCUUAAAACUGAUUUAAUGAUGAGGUAAUAGUACUCUUUCCUGUUCUUCUUUUAAUUCAAAAAAUCUUGGAGCUCCCUUGUGGUGCAGUGGGUUAGGGAUCUAGCAUUGUCAUUGCUUUGGUAGGGGUUUGAUCCCUGGUGGGGGAACUUCCACAUGCAGUGGGUGUGGCCAAAUUUUUUUUAGUUAAAAAAAGAAUUUGUUCAUAUAUCCAUUUGCUUCUGAAAUCAUAUUAUGACUAUGGUCUUUUAAAUCAAUAAAAUAUCCAACUGAAAUCCACAAAACUCUUUGUGGAUCUUAAAAGCUCCUAAGCCUCCAAGGAAUACACAAAUUUCCCUUUCUCCUAAUGAGAAAGGUGACAGAGUUCACUACAUUCCUAUAAAUAAACAUCAUCCUUUGUAACUAAAACUCUCCAAAAUGUCUUCCUUUCAGAGGUCUGAGGGCCUAUCACUAUUUGCACAGUAAUGAAGUCCUUCAUUUUGGUAUAUGUGAACUUAAUACUCUUUAGUGCAUCCAGACAAUCCUCAAGAACUCCAAGGAGCCUUUGGCAGACAAGGCGUCAGGAAAUCUAUGGGAAAGCAUCAGUAGAAGAUCUAUAACAUGAGGCAACAGUAAAUGGAUCUGGGAAUGCCAUGAAUUUUAGGAAAUUAUGGACUCCAAAAAGGAAUGGGAACAUAGACAAAUUGUCUUCUUGGGAGGUAGGAAUGAAGAGUGAAGGGGAGGAUAUGAAGAACAUUUCAGAUUGCCAGAGAAGUAAACUUUAGGGUGAAACAAAGGUGCCAGUGAAUUCUCUGAUUUCUGUACCUAGCAAUUUUGAAAUGCUUCAUGGUAUAUGAACAGCUCUAUUAUGUGCCUAAGUCUACAUCUCUUCAACCAAGAUAAAAGCACUGGACACUAUCCUAAGUAUAAAACUACAAAGUAAAACAUUCAGAAAUAUUCUAGUUUUAAGUAUGGCGAAGAAAAAAUAACAUACAAGAAAAUACACAAGUUAUUUUACAGUAACUUUAGCAAAUCAGAAGCUUAAUUAGGGUUGCCUUUAAAAAUGAACUUUCUCAAAGUAGAGCUAUGAUUUCAGGUUUGUUCAGGUGCAGGUUAUGAUGUAAUUUACAGAAAACUGAAAUUUUUUUUUUUUAAUCUUUUUAGGGCCAUACCCGUGGCAUAUGGAGGUUCCUAGGCUAGGGGUCGAAUCUUCCCAAGCUAGGGGUUGAAUCGGAGUUGAAGCUGCUGGCCUACACCACAGCCACAGCCAGAUCCGAGCUGAGUCUGUGAUCUACACCACAGCUCACGGCAAUGCCGGAUCCUUAACCCACUAAGCGAGGCCAGGGAUCGAACCCGCCACCUCAUGGUUCCUAGUCAGAUUAGUUUCCACUGUACCACAACGGGAACUCCUGAGAAAGCUGAAAUAUUUGAUAGUUCUAUCUAGUAAGCAGAACUUUAAAAAUAAUGUUUGUUGAUGUUUUUGAGUGGUAGUUCAAAGAACAUGGAAUAAAAUUCAAAAGGAUAAACAAUAAAAAAAUGAACUUUGGAGUUGUUAGAUGUGUAUUAACUUAUUCAAAAGUAUAUACUGAGCAUUAUAUUGGUUAUAUGUAAUAUGGGAUUACAAAGAAUAAGUGAAGGCUUGGGCAACUUAAGUCUUACAGAAAAAAAUUUAACUUAAUUUGGCAUUUCACAAAAUUAUGUAACUGCAUCUUUUUUCACCUAACACCUGUAAACAGAUCAUGACACUUUAGAAAAUGCUGAUUUGGGCACACGGUUUUAAAAAAUGUAUUCCUACAUACUUCCUAAGGCACUGAAAACAUAAAUUUUUAACACUUUUCACAUUUUCAGAAAACAUGAAAGAGCAAGUUUGCAAAUUCUUGGGAAUCAUAAAAAUAAUGAGAGACAGAGUUAAGAGGGAGGAGGGAAAACAACAAAUAGCUUUCCCAUACCACAGAAAAUGAUCUAUAACU